Molecule: non-coding RNA, 1712 nt
Organism: Pelobates cultripes (western spadefoot toad)
Lineage: Eukaryota; Metazoa; Chordata; Amphibia; Anura; Pelobatidae
Source: the annotation of a GenBank genome assembly
CCCGGGAUAGUGUCUGCAGCAGCAAUGGGAACAGUGUUCCUGCUGUAAAAAAAGUGCUCGAAAGCUGUUCCCACGCGUUCCUGCAGGACUCGAGCCCUAAUAUUAUAGUUAUUUUUCAUGUCCAUUAUGCUGAAAAGAAGAUGAGCUAACCAAAAGUCAAAGAGUAAAGUAUUGCCAUGCUGUACAAAACGCUAUACAAGAAUUGAAUUUAGUGGUCAGUUAAAUACUAUAUUCAGGUUUCAGUACUUGUUUCCACAUUGAUCAACUUUACCAGUUGUUUUAUAUUGUCUAUAUAUAGUCUAUAUAUAGUGCACUGGGGCCCUCCCUACACAACCACUCGCAGGAAUAAACAUGUACAUUAUCAAUAAAAUUACUCUUAUACUUACUGGUACCUCCAACAAAAUCAGUCUUAAAACAUUAAAAACCAUGCUGUACAGCAGAGAUUAAUCCACACAAAUGGUUAGUAUGUAGCAGGGGGAAACUGCUGACAUGGACAAAAUUUUAGAAAAUAUUUAUUAUAACUUUACGGCUUCAGAAAACAGUGUGUCGAUUUUGUCUUGCUUAUGUACAAUUAGUACGUGUACGUUGUUUUCGUCAAGGUCAAAAUAUGUAUUUGCGACAGCAAUAUUGCAUCUACAGAAAACACCUGAUAAUGAGGUGAUUAGUCCACAUAAACAUUUUAAUAAAGAGAGUUUGAGGGUUCUGAUCAAAUUACAUGGAUAAUAUACUGAUAGUUGGCAAGCCUAUGGAGCCCCUAUGCACGGGAGACCCCCGGGCAACUUCCCAGCUUGCCCAUACGUUAAGACAGCACUGGUCUAUAUUUUCAUCACAAUAUUGUCCGUGCAGACCACACUCUGUAGUAUUGCUUAUAAGAAAUGACAUGGUCAUUCUAUGCAAACUACAUUCACACUCAGAUUUCGAUGAAGGCAUGUACAUUAUUGCUAAUGGCUCUUAAUAUUCAAUAUCUAAGUUGACUUAUUAAGCUGUCAAAGUUCUGGAGUUUAAGACAAUUCUAAAGUACAUGUUCCUUCAGAACACCAAGCAGUGGAUAAAGACAGCAUAAUCUGUCUUUCAUCUCAGUCAUCUUAAUAAGGCAUUUAGACAUUUGAACUUAAUUUUGCUUUACACAGACAUAAAUUAGCUGUAAAUGUUCUCGGGAUUUGAAGAAAUAGUCCAAGUGCCUUUUGGUUAGAUUACUUUUACUGCUACAUGCCCCAAGGUAAUGUUUUUAUUUGUACAAGGUUCGCUCUGCUGGCGUACACUGAUAAAAGUUUAUUGCAUUCAGAUAUAUGAUAUAUUGUUUUUGACAAAUAGGAUCAUGUAUUUUCUUUCAUGUCAUUAGUCACUAUUAGUUGAUAUUGGAAACAUAGCAAGUUGAAUUUUUCAUUUAAUAAAACCUAAAAGGUAGAACUAUUGCUUUUGAAAGCAUGUACACCCACCUUUUAUAAGAGGAUGCUGAUCAGUCCAUUAAGUUAAAAAUGACUGUCAUGUUUUUCAAAGAUAGUGUGAACUUUACUUCGAAGCAUCCUUAGAAAAUAAGUUCUGAGAUGCUCUGAGAGUGUAAUACUGGUAUAAAAGCGUGAUUGCUCUGAUUAUUUAUGGCUUUUACAUUCCCCAUAAUUCCUGCAGUUUCCUUACAAAUGCUCACGUGCAAGAUAUUUGAUAAUUUCUAUUUUAAUUUUGUGUACUUGGCCAUUGAAUUGUAAUAGGUG